AACGAACGCUGGCGGCAUGCCUAACACAUGCACGUCGAACGAGACCUUCGGGUCUAGUGGCGCACGGGUGCGUAACGCGUGGGAACCUGCCCUUAGGUUAGGAAUAACUCCACGAAAGGGGUGCUAAUACCGGAUAAUGUCUUCGGACCAAAGAUUUAUCGCCUUUGGAUGGGCCAGCGUUGGAUUAGCUAGUUGGGAGGGGAAACGCCUACCAAGGCGACGAUCCAUAGCUGGUCUGAGAGGAUGAUCAGCCACACUGGGAGUGAGACACGGCCCAGACUCCUACGGGAGGCAGCAGUAGGGAAUAUUGGACAAUGGGCGAAAGCCUGAUCCAGCAAUGCCGCGUGAGUGAUGAAGGCCUUAGGGUUGUAAAACUCUGUUACCCGAGAUGAUAAUAACAGUACCGGGAGAAUAAGCGCCGGCUAACUCCGUG
This 433-nucleotide ribosomal RNA is filed under the name uncultured bacterium. RNAcentral describes it as "partial 16S ribosomal RNA". It matches the Rfam family "Bacterial small subunit ribosomal RNA", at positions 29 to 507 of the family's 1533-position model. The record is from RNAcentral.